AACGAACGCUGGCGGCAGGCCUAACACAUGCAAGUCGAACGCUCCGCAAGGGGAGUGGCGCACGGGUGAGUAACACGUGGGAACCUACCUUCUGGUACGGAACAACCAAGGGAAACUUUGGCUAAGACCGUAUACGACCUCCGGGUGAAAGAUUGAUCGCCGGAAGAGGGGCCCGCGUCCGAUUAGGUAGUUGGUGAGGUAACGGCUCACCAAGCCUUCGAUCGGUAGCUGGUCUGAGAGGAUGACCAGCCACACUGGGACUGAGACACGGCCCAGACUCCACGGAGGCAGCAGUGGGGAAUAUUGGACAAUGGGCGCAAGCCUGAUCCAGCCACGCCGCGUGAGUGAUGAAGGCCUCGGUCGUAAG
This 367-nucleotide ribosomal RNA is filed under the name uncultured bacterium. Its description in RNAcentral is "bacterial SSU rRNA". It matches the Rfam family "Bacterial small subunit ribosomal RNA", at positions 29 to 429 of the family's 1533-position model. The record is from RNAcentral.